This is a long non-coding RNA of Sinocyclocheilus grahami, 560 nucleotides long. RefSeq lists it as uncharacterized. The record is from RefSeq and is a predicted model, not a curated record. The transcript has 2 exons. Lineage: Eukaryota; Metazoa; Chordata; Actinopteri; Cypriniformes; Cyprinidae.
UUGAUGGAUUAUGGCAGCCUCUGCUUCUAAUGUACACUUAAUGCUCCUUCACAUUGGAGAUUACUGAUGGUUCAGUGGUUGUCACUGCACCAUUCACAGGAAGCUGUUGGCUAAUGAUGGACACUGAAAUGCGACUCCCUUUGUGACCAGGAGGUCACUCUUUCCUGUCCUCUGACACGGCCAACGAUAGCCCCAACCAUGCCUGCUGACCCAGACAUGCAACAGAUGUUUGACCCUUUCCCUUUUGGAAGAACCUGGUGGUAUCCUCCAUAUUAUCCUGGUGUACCUGCUACCCUGCCUCCCACUGUGCCAGCUAUAGCUCCACCUUUUCAAUAUCCUUUCCAGCAACACAUGUUCCCUCAGAUAUAUCCCAGGCCAGUGUUUGAUCCAUACUUUUACUCUAGAGGUGACCCAGCUGCUCCCCCAGCACCACAACAACCUCCACAUCCCUGAUACCCAAACUUCCCUCCUUUAUAUGAAUGGCUUCCAAAGCCAAAUUGAAGUGACCAUUCCUGCAACGAUCACAACUACACCUGCCCCAUACCAGUCUGAGCAGCAUC